AACGCACAUUGCGCCCUCUGGUAUUCCGGGGGGCAUGCCUGUUCGAGCGUCAUUACAACCCUCAAGCUCAGCUUGGUAUUGGGCCUCGCCGUCUGGCGGGCCUUAAAAUCAGUGGCGGUGCCGUCUGGCUCCAAGCGUAGUAAUUUUUCUCUCGCUUUCGGAGGCCGGCGUGUGCUUGCCAACAACCCCCAAUUUUUUCAGGUUGACCUCGGAUCAGGUAGGGAUACCCGCUGAACUUAA
This 240-nucleotide unclassified non-coding RNA is filed under the name Kauffmania sp. RNAcentral's name for it is "partial contains 5.8S ribosomal RNA, internal transcribed spacer 2, and large subunit ribosomal RNA". The stretch from base 1 to 52 matches the Rfam family "5.8S ribosomal RNA", at positions 103 to 154 of the family's 154-position model. The record is from RNAcentral. Lineage: Eukaryota; Fungi; Basidiomycota; Agaricomycetes; Agaricales; Psathyrellaceae.